Non-coding RNA from Plutella xylostella (diamondback moth), 146 nucleotides. NCBI's taxonomy places the organism in Eukaryota, Metazoa, Arthropoda, Insecta, Lepidoptera, Plutellidae. The record is from RefSeq and is a predicted model, not a curated record.
UAUUUAUUUAAUUCUUUAUUGCACAAAUAUAUAAUAAAUGCACAAAAGGUGGGCUUAAUGCUAAGAGAAUUUUCUACCAGCCAACCUACAGGAGGUACAGAAAAACUGGUACAAAGAUGUGCAAAAAAAAUAAAAUAAUGAAAGAA